Molecule: long non-coding RNA, 1147 nt
Filed under: Salmo salar (Atlantic salmon)
Lineage: Eukaryota; Metazoa; Chordata; Actinopteri; Salmoniformes; Salmonidae
Description: lncRNA (ENSSSAG00000092728.1)
Source: RNAcentral
CUAGAUGCCAACAGUCUUUAGAACGUUGUUUCAUGCUUCUACUGUGAAUAUGGAGCGAACAAGAGGGCCUGGAGUCAGAUGAGUGAGGAAAUGACAUGAGCUCAGAGGCAUGCUCUCACGUGAGUGGCACCAAGAGAGUAAGAGGGUCCGUGGCACUGUUCCCUGUCAGCAGCCAGCCAACUGAUAUCAGAUGUCAAGAGGACAGCCAUCAAUGGAUGAUGAAACACAACUCCACUCCUAUCAGCCCCCCUGACAACAGUCAGUCCAGGCAGGCUCACCACACCUCGUGUCUCCGCUGACAUGACAGGCUUGUUGUAUAAUCAUUUUCCAAAGAAUAGACUAGAGUGUCAUUGUGCAACACGUAUACCGGCUGGAUCGAGGUCCUGGUCUCAGAUCAGUUUGUGCUGUAUAACCAACUCCUAUGGAUACAGAGCAAACAGAUCUGAUUUUCUCACCGUAGGGAUUAGACUGGAAUGAAGAUGUAUCGGCCAGUGGAGGCACCUCAGAGGAGGAAGGGGAGGACCAUCCUACUCAGACCUGAGCCCUAGGACCAUGCCUCAGGACUACCUGGCUUGAUGACUCCUUGCUGUCCCCAGCUCACCUGGCCGUGCUGCUGCUCCAGUUCUAACUGUUCUGCCUGCAGCUAUGGAACCCUGACCUGUUCACCGGACGUGCUACCUGUCCCAGACCUGUUGUCCCAGACCUGCUGGAACCCUGACCUAUUCACCGGACAUGCUACCUGUCCCAGACCUGCUGUUUUCAACUCUCUAGAGACAGCAGGAGCGGUAGAGAUACUCUCAAAGGUCGGCUAUGAAAAAGCCAACUGACACUUACUCUUGUGUUGCUGACUUGUUGCACCCUCGACAACUACUAUGAUUAUUAUUAUUUGACAAUGCUGGUCAUUUAUGAACAUUUGAACAUCUAGGCCAUGUGCUGUUAUAAUCUCCACCCGGCACAGCCAGAAGAGGACUGGCCACCCCUCAUAGCCUGGUUCCUCUCUAGGUUUCUUCCUAGGUUUUGGCCUUUCUAGGGAGUUUUUCCUAGCCACCGUGCUUCUACACCUGCAUUGCUUGCUGUUUGGGGUUUUAGGCUGGGUUUCUGUACAGCACUUUGAGAUAUCAGCUGAUGUAAGAAGGGCUAUAUAAAU